This 459-nucleotide ribosomal RNA is filed under the name uncultured bacterium. RNAcentral's name for it is "partial 16S ribosomal RNA". It matches the Rfam family "Bacterial small subunit ribosomal RNA", at positions 338 to 795 of the family's 1533-position model. The record is from RNAcentral.
CCUACGGGAGGCAGCAGUGAGGAAUAUUGGUCAAUGGGCGCGAGCCUGAACCAGCCAAGUCGCGUGAGGGAAGACGGUCCUAUGGAUUGUAAACCUCUCUUGUCGGGGAGCAAAAGCCGCCACGCGUGGCGUUCCGAGAGUACCCGAACAAAAAGCAUCGGCUAACUCCGUGCCAGUAGCCGCGGUUAUACGGAGGAUGCGAGCGUUAUCCGGAUGUAGUGGGUUAAAGGGGUGCGUAGGAGGAAGAUAAAGUACGCGGUAAAAUUGAGGGGCUCAACCUCGUCGAGCCGUUGAGACGGGUUUUCUUGAGUGAGCGAGAAGUAUGCGGAAUGCGUGGUGUAGCGGUGAAAUGCAUAGAUAUCACGCAGAACUCCGAUUGCGAAGGCAGCAUACCGGCGCUCAACUGACGCUCAUGCACGAAAGUGAGGGUAUCGAACAGGAUUAGAUACCCGAGUAGUC